This 80-nucleotide transfer RNA is filed under the name Ignatzschineria rhizosphaerae. Its description in RNAcentral is "Ignatzschineria sp. HR5S32 tRNA-Asp". Lineage: Bacteria; Pseudomonadati; Pseudomonadota; Gammaproteobacteria; Cardiobacteriales; Ignatzschineriaceae. The record is from RNAcentral.
GGAGUGUGGACGUGCACGCAGGCUAGAAUACCUGCCUGUCACGCAGGGGGUCGCGGGUUCGAAUCCCGUCCAUUCCGCCA